Molecule: ribosomal RNA, 253 nt
Filed under: uncultured bacterium
Lineage: Bacteria
Description: partial 16S ribosomal RNA
Rfam family: Bacterial small subunit ribosomal RNA
Source: RNAcentral
UACGUAGGGGGCAAGCGUUGUUCGGAAUUACUGGGCGUAAAGGGCGCGUAGGCGGCACAGCAAGUCGGGAGUGAAAGCCCGGGGCUCAACCCCGGAACGGCAUCCGAGACGGCCAGGCUGGAGACCGGGAGAGGAGAGUGGAAUAGCCAGUGUAGAGGUGAAAUUCGUAGAUAUUGGCUGGAACACCGGUGGCGAAAGCGGCUCUCUGGCCCGGUUCUGACGCUGAGGCGCGAAAGCGUGGGGAGCAAACAGG